RNAcentral lists this ribosomal RNA (587 nucleotides) under uncultured bacterium. RNAcentral describes it as "bacterial SSU rRNA". It matches the Rfam family "Bacterial small subunit ribosomal RNA", at positions 198 to 803 of the family's 1533-position model. The record is from RNAcentral.
CCGGCUAAAGCCCCGCUGGGAGGGGAUGGCUCCGCGGCCCAUCAGGUAGACGGCGGGGUGACGGCCCACCGUGCCGACAACGAGUAGCCGGGUUGAGAGACCGACCGGCCAGAUUGGGACUGAGACACGGCCCAGACUCCUACGGGAGGCAGCAGUGGGGAAUCUUGCGCAAUGGGGGGAACCCUGACGCAGCGACGCCGCGUGCGGGACGGAGGCCUUCGGGUCGUAAACCGCUUUCAGCAGGGAAGAGUCAAGACUGUACCUGCAGAAGAAGCCCCGGCUAACUACGUGCCAGCAGCCGCGGUAAUACGUAGGGGGCGAGCGUUAUCCGGAUUCAUUGGGCGUAAAGCGCGCGUAGGCGGCCCGGCAGGCCGGGGGUCGAAGCGGGGGGCUCAACCCCCCGAAGCCCCCGGAACCUCCGCGGCUUGGGUCCGGUAGGGGAGGGUGGAACACCCGGUGUAGCGGUGGAAUGCGCAGAUAUCGGGUGGAACACCGGUGGCGAAGGCGGCCCUCUGGGCCGAGACCGACGCUGAGGCGCGAAAGCUGGGGGAGCGAACAGGAUUAGAUACCCUGGUAGUCCCAGCCGU